UGGGGAAUUUUGUGCAAUGGGCGAAAGCCUGACACAGCGACACCGCGUGAGCGAAGAAGCCCUUUGGGGUGUAAAGCUCUGUCGGCUGGAACGAAAAAAAUGACGGUACCAGCAAAGGAAGCAUCGGCUAACUACGUGCCAGCAGCCGCGGUAAGACGUAGGAUGCGAGCGUUGUCCGGAUUUAUUGGGCGUAAAGAGUUCGUAGGUGGUCUGUUAAGUCUGAUGUUAAAUAUUGGGGCUCAACCCUGAACAUGCAUUGGAUACUGGCAGACUCGAGUGUGGUAGAGGCUAGUGGAAUUCCCAGUGUAGCGGUGAAAUGCGUAGAUAUUGGGAAGAACACCGGUGGCGUAGGCGACUAGCUGGGCCAUAACUGACACUGAGGAACGAAAGCCAGGGUAGCGAAUGGGAUUAGAUACCCCCGUAGUCC
Molecule: ribosomal RNA, 427 nt
Filed under: uncultured bacterium
Lineage: Bacteria
Description: bacterial SSU rRNA
Rfam family: Bacterial small subunit ribosomal RNA
Source: RNAcentral